RNAcentral lists this ribosomal RNA (403 nucleotides) under bacterium. Its description in RNAcentral is "partial 16S ribosomal RNA". It matches the Rfam family "Bacterial small subunit ribosomal RNA", at positions 355 to 776 of the family's 1533-position model. The record is from RNAcentral.
UGGGGAAUAUUGCACAAUGGGGGAAACCCUGAUGCAGCGACGCCGCGUGAACGAAGAAGGUAUUCGUACCGUAAAGUUCUGUCCUAUGGGAAGAUAAUGACAGUACCAUAGAAGAAAGCUCCGGCUAAAUACGUGCCAGCAGCCGCGGUAAUACGUAUGGAGCGAGCGUUGUCCGGAAUUAUUGGGCGUAAAGGGUACGCAGGCGGUUUAAUAAGUCGAAUGUUAAAGAUCGGGGCUCAACCCCGCAAAGCAUUGGAAACUGAUAAACUUGAGUAGUGGAGAGGAAAGUGGAAUUCCUAGUGUAGUGGUGAAAUACGUAGAUAUUAGGAGGAAUACCAGUAGCGAAGGCGACUUUCUGGACACAAACUGACGCUGAGGUACGAAAGCGUGGGGAGCAAACAGG